GUAGGCUACCGUAGUGCACUCGGUAGCAGCUUUAGAGUUCCAGGGCAGCCGUCCAUAGGGUGUACUGUGUUAUGUGCCCCCUCCAUCUCUAGGGCCAGGUUCACCACGGAUUAGGCCAAAAGACCCAAAAUCCUUCAGUUAGCUAAGCCUUGAAAAGGACCAUUGUGGCUACUUCUAGGAAGCUCGGCGCAAACCAUUGUGCAUUUAGUUAUACUAGGGUAGCCCGGUUCAUCCACAUCUGGAUAUUCGAAGUGUAGAGUUUAUCUUCCCGCUUUUGAGAGCAGACCCAUGUGGGUGUCGAGGAAUUGGUUUACCCUCUUGCAUUGGAAAGCAUGGUUAGUCCCUUAGAGGGGUGCAAUUCCUCCGAUGAGUCCCUAAGAAGGGCGCAGUCUUUUUUUAAAGUGCAUGAGUGAUCAGUUGUUGUAGACAUGUAGUCGAGGCAAGUUGUAAAUUACUUCUGAAUUCCUGAUUGAAAAACAAGUGGCACGAACAAAAACUUAGCUGUAAAGUAGAGAUUGCAUAACAACUGGAUAAUCUUCUAUUCGUGAGGUGGUGCUCGUUGAGCUGCUCAAGUUCUUCGGGCUUUGAUGUAGCGGGAGGUCACAUAUGGUACUUUCUGAGAUUGUAGGCGUUCCACUGCUUUUGGAUCUCUUUGUCGUUCAUGGUGGUGAGGGUGUAAUUAACCUUAUCGCCU
This 694-nucleotide long non-coding RNA is filed under the name Malus domestica (apple). RNAcentral describes it as "long non-coding RNA (MDOM_LNC012527)". Lineage: Eukaryota; Viridiplantae; Streptophyta; Magnoliopsida; Rosales; Rosaceae. The record is from RNAcentral.